Calidris pugnax (ruff) is the source of this 465-nucleotide long non-coding RNA. RefSeq lists it as uncharacterized. The transcript has 4 exons. NCBI's taxonomy places the organism in Eukaryota, Metazoa, Chordata, Aves, Charadriiformes, Scolopacidae. The record is from RefSeq and is a predicted model, not a curated record.
GGGUCUGAGAAGCGCAGUGAAGAACUUGAAUCGUGUUGGACAUAUCUAAGGUGCAAAAAAAUGGUACCUGGGGCAUGUCUCUUGAGCUACCAGCUUUCUUAGGAGGAAAUAUACUGAGUGACAGGUCUACUGUAAUUUGUAUGUUCUGCCAUCAAAAAACACUUGGAAAUCGACUGCUUAAAUCUGUGGUACUUAACCCUGCUGCGAUGCACAUUGAACGGUAGAGGGCGCUACCCAGCCUAGAGACUGCAAAAUAGGACACAUUUUUGGGACUGGAGGAAUAUGCUUUUCUACUGUUUUGCCUCUGAAUCCCUUGAAAUUCUGAACGUGUCCACAUGGCUUAUCAAGUACACCAGAAGCUAACAAAAAGAUACCACCUUCUUUCUGAUGAUUAGCAAGAGCUACUUACAUUUUGCUGGAUUUUCUUCCCUUCACCAAAGGCUUAAAACCCAAGAGAGAGUUAAC